RNAcentral lists this long non-coding RNA (3666 nucleotides) under Sus scrofa (pig). RNAcentral describes it as "lncRNA (ENSSSCG00050066864.1)". The record is from RNAcentral. Lineage: Eukaryota; Metazoa; Chordata; Mammalia; Artiodactyla; Suidae.
GUUUAAACACUUUUUCCCCCCCCUUGUUGACUAUGUCCUUAUUUGAAGAACCAUCCAACAUUAAUCCAGACUCUUGUUCUUGAGAAGGGUUUCUGGGAGAAAAUGACGGUGUCCAAUUCAAAUUAACUGAGGAUAUUACUCACCUCAUUAAGGUUACAAGUUUUAAAGGAGAUACCACAUAAGCAAAAAUAAACAAAUAGGACCUAACAAAUUAAUAAGCUUUUGCACAACAAAGGAAACUAUAAACAAAUGGAAAAAAAAGACAACCUAUGGAAUGGGAGAAAAUACCUGCAAGUGAUGCAAUCAGCAAGGGGUUAAUAUCCAAAACAUACAAACAACUCAUACAACUGAAUUAUUGAAAAAACAAGCAACCCAAUCAAAAAAAUGAGCAGAAGACCUCGACAGACAUUUCUCCAAAGAAGGCAUACAGAUGAUUAACAGGCACAUGAAAAGAUACUUAACAACCCUAAUCAUUAGAGAAAUGUAAAGCAAACCACAAUGAGGUAUCACCUCACAUAGAUCAGAAUGGCUAUCAUCAGAAAGUCUACAAAUAAUAAAUGCUGGAGAGUGAAGAUAAAAGGGACCCCUCCUACACUGCUGGGAAUGUAAACUGGUGCAGCAACUAUGGAAAACAGUAUGGAGAUUCCUUAAAAAACUAAAAAUAGAGCUAUCAUAGAAUCCAGCAAUCCCAUUCCUGGGCAUAUAUCUGGAAAAGACAAAAACUCUAAUUUGAAAAGAUACAUGCACUCCAACAUUCAUAGCAGCACUAUUUAUAACAGCCAAGACAUGGAAACAAUCUAAGUGCCUCUCAACAGCUGACUGGCUUAUGAUGUUGUCAGAGUUGUCUUGUGGUGCUUCAGACUUACAGACAUAGAAAAUAAACUAGUGUUUAUCAAAGGGGAAGGUGGAGGGAUAAACUAGGAGUAUGGAAUUAACAAAUACAAACUCUGACACAUAAAAUAGAUAAGCAACAAGGAUUUACUAAUUGCACAGGAAACUAUAUUCAGUAUCUUGUAAUAACCUAUAAUGGAAAAUAAUCUGAAAAAAAAUUAACAAUCACUUGGCAGUAGGCCUGAAACUGACAAAAUAUUGUGAAUCAACUAUACUUCAAAUCAAAAUUAGGUGAACCCGAAUAUAACUUCAUUUGGUUGGACUGAAAUACAUGUGUUUUUAAUAUCUUGAAAGAAUGCUGUAAUUAUGUAGUAUACUUCACAAUAAGGCUUUCACUAGGAUUAGCAAGUUUGAGAUAUGCUCUUUCUUCUCAAUUUCUGUAUUCUCCAAAAGAACCCAAUACUACUGAACCUAUAAGGGCUGUAUGAUGCCUAAAUAUGCCACAUCAUUUGCUUUAUUUAGUCAUUUAUUAUUUUAAUUUAAGCCAAUUUCCAUGAAUAGUCUCUUUAGAUUUUCCUCUCUCUUGGCAUUGUUGCUUAAAUAGUCAUUUGGACAGUAAAACAUUUAACUGUUUAGACAUAUUAAGGUUUGGUGUCAUUUUGCUUAUGGUAUAUUAAAAUUUAUGCAUUGAGUUUUUCCUUUUCUUUUGUUUGGCAGUUAUCAGGUGUAAAACAGAAUAUUAAUAUUAAAAGAAGUGACUUUAUAUCCUCCAAUAUAAAACAUUUAAAAAAAAAGAUUCAUCUAGAAGAGAGCACUAUUAUGUAACUAAGUACAUGAUACUACAAAGUACAAGUUCACAAACUGAAAAGCCAGUAUAAAUGUUUCACGUAAGGAACUGCUAAAAUGAGAACAGUUAUUUAAGCUUUCAGGUACAAUGAAGAAAAAGUUCACAUACAAACAAUUUAGUGCAAUGCUACAGUCAAUCUUAAAUGGGAAGAGUUUUCUGUUCACAAAUGUUCAGUUUUGUGAAUUCAUGAACUUUAGCCUCCAAAUUAUUCAGACCCACCAUUUUGGUGAAAGAUCAGAAAAUGUCUUUUUCUGAAACUAAACUGGCUGACACAAACGUAUCCCAACUGAAGAAAUCCUAUAGCUAAAUGAAGAUUGUAAAACAAUAAACUGGAAUGUAAUCCAUGAUGGUUUACUUGGUAGUCAUACUGUGGGGUGAAGAGAAGACAUUUGGGAAAACUUUAAUCAAGGUAUUGUUGCAAAUUAGAGUGUGUAAAGAGAAGCUGAUGCAGAGCCUCCAAGGAGUCUGAAGGUCUUAAAUGGAGGUCAUAAAUAGGUUUUUUCCCCUUUUAAAUUCAAGAACUAUAUUCAAUUAUUUCAUAGGUCAGACCCAAUCAGAGAAUACCUGUCCUUAUUCUCUUUAGGAAUAUUUCUGAGGGAAGUAAAUCUCAUAUAUUCUACCCCAUGUCCUGUUUGCAGUGAUCCUAGUUUUAACUGAUGUCAAAACACUUGAUCAAUUUAGUUAAGAAUACUAAGUGAUAGGGAAGAAAAAGAGGUGAAAGGUGAGGGAUUCCAUGUACAAACAGUACUACUUAAAUAAGGAGGUAAAAAGUCCUCUUAAAAUGGUAAGAAAUUAAAGACAUGGGUUAAUUUAACUUUUCGGGCCAAUGGUCACUUGAAUAUUACAUGAAUUACAAAUGGUGAUGGAAUCAUAAUUUUAUAUAAUAGUAUAGGACAAUAUGAUUUCCUGUGGUCUUAUCUCUUUCAGUGUUCCCAAAGAGGCCACUGUGCAGGGAACUGAAAAGCAACUGAUCUUUCUCAAAUCUUCUUUCAGGAGCAUAAGUUUGACAUUUUGUUUUGCUUUGCUUUUUGAGGAUCAACUCCCUCACUUGUCCAGACUGCAUUCCAUGUCACUCGCAAUUCCUAGGGACAAGAAAAUUAGGAACUGUUGAGUUCUGUCUUCUAAACAGAGUAUUCCGUUUUGCGUGAAAUGCUGAUAUAAAGGCGGGAUUAGCUUGGGCAGAGCAGGUCAAACGCCUACUGAGUUGCCCUUGAAUACAUGGCCAUUUUCUACCUGCUCUCUUGCAGCCAUGAGAGUUGAUGGGUCAAGGGCAAGUAUUCAAGAUGUUAGCACGUGCUGAACAUAUGGAAUCACUGAAUUUUUGCAACAUUUAAAAAAAAAAAAAACCAGGAAAAGUUGUGCGGUCAUAAUCCAGGUGGUGACCUUUUUUGGGGGGUUAGUUUUAACAUUUCUACCACCUUGAGAAGUUAUUUGAAGUAAGUGGGCUUGGAGAGGCCGGGACUCUGGGGAACGGAAAUUUAAAGAGACUUUGUAGUUGUACUGAUGGAGACAGACAACUCUGCUGGCUUCAGGGAUUAUUAAUUGUGGAAUGUAAUAAUAUGUAAUAAUUGUUGAAUGUAGUAAGAGGGGAACCAAAUCAGUUCCCUUUCAGGAACUCAUACACAAUUUUGCAAGCGAAAGGCCCACCCUCAGCAAGGCGUGCUAACGCUUCAGCAACUAGGAGUCUGACCUUAGCUCACGCUCGGAGAUGACUCCGCACUUAAAACUUUUGCCGGAAGCCGGGCCACGUGACCCGCCCUUUUCCACAGCCAUGCCUAGCGGGGCAGCCGCCAGAGCUCCUACAUUUCCUAGCCCCUCCAGCGUGGGACAGCUCAGAAUCUCCCGACAGGAGGCGGAAUCAGCUAGGUUUCGACUCGAGCGUCGCCACAACUCACGCUUUUCUCCAACAGAGCUUUGCAAGUUCUUCAUCCCAAAACAGCAGCCGGAGACUUCCGCCUGGUUGCCGACCACGUGAUCACGCGACAUUU